GGACAAGCCCUAGCUCAGUGGUUCCUUCAGCAAGUUUCAGACUUUCAAAUGCCUUACAAGGGUGGCUCGAGAUCCGCGGGUGCUCCCUAAUCCUUUU
This 97-nucleotide vault RNA is filed under the name Choloepus hoffmanni (Hoffmann's two-fingered sloth). RNAcentral describes it as "Vault RNA (ENSCHOG00000015963.1)". It matches the Rfam family "Vault RNA". From Rfam's summary of the family: This family of RNAs are found as part of the enigmatic vault ribonucleoprotein complex. The record is from RNAcentral. Lineage: Eukaryota; Metazoa; Chordata; Mammalia; Pilosa; Megalonychidae.